RNAcentral lists this unclassified non-coding RNA (256 nucleotides) under Hevea brasiliensis (rubber tree). The record is from RNAcentral. Lineage: Eukaryota; Viridiplantae; Streptophyta; Magnoliopsida; Malpighiales; Euphorbiaceae.
GCAAUCACAAGCAUAAUUUGUUAGAAACCUCAUAACAACUAUGGUAAUACCAUAGCCAAAAGACAUGUACAAGAUUCACCUGCCUGAAAGAAAAGGUGCUGCCAAAUAAUUUAAUUAAAAGCAUAAAAAUUCUCGUGUUAGCAGAACAGCCACACAGAUCUACCAUUUAAUUGAAACAAGCAGCACUACCAUGAUACAAGAUGUCUGAAACCUUUUUUAUUGAAUGGCAUUUUGUUGUAUCUAUCCAAUAUUUUUG